CAGCUGGUUUGGUGCGUUGAUUUUGAAGUGCUGAAAAUUGUGUCUGUUUUAAUAAGUUUGUGAAAUAAAAGCUGCGCUGUCUGGCCCCGUGUUAGUCAGUGUGUUAUACUAAGCAGGUACAAAAAGGAAGUGUCUGUUCUCUGGCUAUCAGGGGUUCUGAUAAAAAUAGGAAGUCACGCCAAAGACCUUGCGAGGGCGGAGACAUACAGCAGCCAUCUUGUAAAAAGUUUAGACAAAAAAACUUUACAAGAAAGAAAACCUCUUGAUCUAAUUUUUGAAUAAGAAAGGGAAAAUUGUGAAAAAGAUUAUAACAAUUGCAGCAGGAAACAUUAACUCAUGCAAUAAACAGACAUACCAGAGCAGAAAUAAAACUUGUAAAAGGAAACCAUGCAAAGCUUUGCAGAUGGAUCAUAAUGUGUAAAGGGAUCUCAGCUUGGAUGAAAGAGGAUGAGCCUCAAGCUCAACCUCAAGAGGUAGAUUCACCUCCCCAACAACAGGAACAGAAACCAGAAACAUUAGAACAGGUGCUCACCAUGAUAAAACUUCACUACCGUGAAGUUUUAUUUGCUUAUUGAUGAAGUUUUAUUUGCUAAUUUGCUAAUUGCUUUUAUUUUAUUAGAUAAGAGAGAACAAAAUGUGGUCGAAGGUUGGAUCUGAUAUGAGGCGAACAGGACCGGUCUAAAAAGAUUAAAAGGUACGCACAAACCUGUUCAAUAAGCAAAUUUGUGCAAAUUGGCUGAAUUCUAAAUUAUCUGUUCGCUGAGUAGAUGAUCUUAACUAUUAAACUGGCUCAGUAGCGGUAAAACUGAAUUCUUGAGAAUAAAGAAGCUUUGAAGUUAUGAGAAACUUUGAAGUAAUGAGAAGCUUUGAAGAAAGGAUAAUGAAACUUUGAGAAAGACAGCACUGAAAUAAAAACAAGAGAUGUUAUGAUAAAAGAAAAAGAGACCCAGGCAUGUUUAGUCCGACAGAAAACACCUGGUGCUGUCAGGAUGUUUAAGGGACACAGAAGUUCAGAAAAUCGAGUCAGAAAUGGUUUUGUGGCUCUUGGUAAACUGAUUUUGAAGGAAAAUCAGUGUUUAUUGUGCUGAAGUAACAGAUCCGGCGCGGUCUGACGUGAAGAAUCAGCUGUACAAGUCUGAGUGUGCAGCGUUGUUGAUAUUAACAGAUCCGGUGAGGUCUGAGGAAAAGAAAUAAAUUGGUGAAUGGUUGAUAUAUUUACAUGAAUUUUGGUGGAUCCGCUGAGGUCCAGAAGAAUAAUCAAUGCGGACUGUAUUGGUUUGAAUGUUGGUAAAUGAUCCAGGAAGAAUUGCCCUGGGUCUGUGUCUGUGUGUGUGUUGUUCAGUGACAACAUGCGCAGUUUAAAUUGGGCGCUGUUCCUUCCUCUUUUUAGUUUCAAAACACAAAGGCAGUUGGAUUAAGAAUUACUGUGUGAGGAACGGCUUGACUUUUGACUAGGGAAAUAAUAUGCUUACUUGUGGGUCUAUGAAGAUCCCGUAACAUUCCGGUGGAGAUGCUGGGGAAAAAAGAGUGAGUUCGGACAAGGAACUCCGAGAAAAGGACACCUUGAGUUGAGCAAGGUGUUUAACUGACUCAGGAUUUCAGAAAAUCGAGUCAGCUGUGAUCUUGAGUUUUAAUGUAAAGGCGGCUACUUGACUUGACUGAGAUGGAUGCCUUCCUGAAACCACGAUCCAAAGCGCUCGAGACUGAAAUCCCGUGCAGUGUUGCAGUAAGUUAUUGACUUACUUCACUCGAACAUGAUAUGAACAAUUUAAUCUAGCCUCUCUGCAUAUCAUGUAGUUUCUACACUAUAUAGUUACACUUAACUUUAAAGCAUGAGGCACUUGUGUUAAAUACACGCAAGAUGCUUACGUAAAUCCAAGAGCUGGCCAAUCUUUUUUAAGUGUAGCAAAGGACAUUUAGGGUCACAUUUUGUCUAAGAUGGGGAGAAUUGUUCCAUAUGUGUUUAUUUCUCUUCUCUUUUAAGAGGACAGACGCAGUUACUGAGUGUUGUUUACUUCCUUUUUCUGAGUCUCAAAAGUAUGUUUGAUAAAAAUACUCUUAGGAAAGUGUAUUUCGAGUGAUUCUAAGUGUGCGAAUGUUGUGAGUACUGGAUUUGAAUGAUUAUGUGUGAUUCGUACAAAAUAAUAAAUAAAGUAAUGAUAACACAUAGGAGAGUGAGUGGAAAAGUGGAAGUCUGAGAGAAAGUGUGUGCGUAGGCAAACUUCAGAGUGUGUGUGCGUCAAACAGGAAGUCUGAUUAUAGCUGGUGAGCUGGGGAGAGACGUUGCAACAUGAAAACAGAGGAAUUAGAGACUGAAUGUCUUAAGAAAAAGUAAUAAAAUAUAUUAACUACAUGUUUUAGAGAAGAGAAAGACCGAGAAAAUAAAUACAUGAACUAACAAUUACAUUAAUGAAUAGAAAACGCACGUACACAAAUUGCUACAGGUGAAAGUAUUGUUGGAAACAAUCAGAAAUGGGAUAGUUUAAUACACCCAGGCAAUGAAGAAAGCAGCUUACACUCCUUUAAUUUCCAGAGCCAGUGUGUCCCCUGCUCUCAUACCACCCCUGCCCACGUGGCCCCUGUAACAGGCGAGCAUGGAAGGCUGGAUAGCCCAUGACGGGUAAGAUCCCACCACGAAACCCUGGGACAACCUAAGGCAGGCACAGUCACGAUUGCUUGAACCUAAGUCACGGUGAGCUUGGACUCACUGGUGGAAACGGGACUUGAAGGGUAAAGCCGCUGGGCUGAGGCAAAGGGGGAAAUGUCAUUAACAAUGACCAGUGAUGAGUUAAAGAGUCUCCCCUCUUUAACUCCCUGUCUUUCAGGGUGAAUUGUUCCCUGAACCUAAAAAGCAAGCUAUAACUUCUGGCUGAGGACAAGGAAUGCUGUUAUUUAAGGUGGGAAAUCAAAAUUGGGGUUAGCAAAUUUGGGAGAGAGAAAACUGAUUGUUUCAGUGGAACCUUGUGAAGGAGUCUGAGAAAACCACAAAAAGAAACAUAUACACAAUCACACACACAAAUAGAAAAUGCAUUAACCUUAGAAUACAAAAGAAUUCAUGAAGAUCAGAGCAGGUUGACCAUAGGAGUCUGCUUAUCAUGUUGUCCAACUCGCUUAGUGUGUAGUAGUUUACAGAAGAGAAAAUUCAGAAUUUAGUGUUGAUGGUGUGCAAGUUGUGUGGCGUUUAACGAGAUUCUCUGUGUUUUGAGCAGGUGAAAUUAUGUUAAGUUGACCUGAGAGUGUCAGGACCCUGAAGAACUUGUGGCAAAAUGUUAUGUGUUUAAGAUUGUUUAGGUUGUUGUUGUAGUGAUGGGUUACUUUUAUCGGUUAGAUUUGUGUUGUUUUCUUGUUUUAAUAGAGGGAGUUUUAUUGAACAUGGACAUGUGUAGAAUUGGGCCCAUUAUUUUUGUAACAGUGCACUUAGAAAAAA
Oreochromis niloticus (Nile tilapia) is the source of this 3427-nucleotide long non-coding RNA. RefSeq lists it as uncharacterized. NCBI's taxonomy places the organism in Eukaryota, Metazoa, Chordata, Actinopteri, Cichliformes, Cichlidae. The record is from RefSeq and is a predicted model, not a curated record. The transcript is spliced from 2 exons.